This 340-nucleotide ribosomal RNA is filed under the name Thelephoraceae sp. 'Taylor #8'. RNAcentral's name for it is "LSU rRNA". It matches the Rfam family "Bacterial large subunit ribosomal RNA", at positions 1742 to 2084 of the family's 2925-position model. The record is from RNAcentral. Lineage: Eukaryota; Fungi; Basidiomycota; Agaricomycetes; Thelephorales; Thelephoraceae.
UAAGAGGAACCACUUAAAAAUAAAAAAAUUAUGGUGGUGUCACAAAAUCGGAGGCCACGACUGUUUACUAAAAACACAAUUCAGAGCAAUGAUGAAAAUCAUAGUAUUCUGGAUGAAAUUUGCCCGAUGCCAUUAACAUAAAAGAGGUAAUGGGAAACUGUUACUAAUUGAAAGUCUGGUUAAUAGCGGUCUUAACUAUGAGGAUCCUAAGGUAGCAAAAUAAAUUGGCCAUUAAAUGUGGUCUGGUAUCAAUAGUGUAACGAUGGUCUCACUGUCUCUACAACUUGCUCAGUGAAAUUGAAUUAUCCGUGCAGAUGCGGAUUGCCUCCAGGUGGACGGG